Non-coding RNA from Carica papaya (papaya), 223 nucleotides. Lineage: Eukaryota; Viridiplantae; Streptophyta; Magnoliopsida; Brassicales; Caricaceae. The record is from RefSeq and is a predicted model, not a curated record.
UUGUAGCUUCACGCUUUCUAAUUCCGACGGGAAUUUCAAUUCUCCAAUUUGUUUAUAUUUCGGAUGAUAUUUUUCUUCUAGGGUUUCGAAGGAACGUUUUCUUCUUUCCCGCCGAUUCAUCUCUCGUGAAUUCUCUCUCCCAUUGAAUUCAGUCAAUUCUUGACUUCUCGAACCUUAAACUAAAUCUCUAAUUCUGAACCUCCGAGAAAUAAAAUGUCUGGAA